GCGCGGUUCAUCGUCGGGCUCUGCCGGUUUUCUGCCACCGCGCGGAAGGCGAGGCGAGCAGCUCUGUUCGGCUGUGGAAGUGAGGAGUCUGGCUGGGGAGCGCGCUACCGAGCAGAGGAGCAGCGCGCGGACAUUGCACACCAGAGCACAGAGAUGUCAUAUAUUCACCUGUCCAACCAUUAUGAAAUGACAUGAAAGUGAAGGACACCAGUGGUAAUGCUGUUAACAAAAUACAACUAUUACCUCACAUGGGAAAGGAAAGGUGACUUAAUUUAACAUCCACUGUAUCGAUGCCAAAAGCAAGGCAUCCUGCUGCUCAAAAUUUGCUCUUUGAUUAAUUGACGAUUAGACAACCAAAUGCCAGACUUGCAAAAAGCACUUCACCUAUCGAGCUCUAUAAGAUAACAUCGCUACUAGUCUUCUAGUCCACAUUUGAAGAGUAAGUCUCAUCCAGCUGGUGAAGACUACA
Molecule: long non-coding RNA, 469 nt
Organism: Oxyura jamaicensis (ruddy duck)
Lineage: Eukaryota; Metazoa; Chordata; Aves; Anseriformes; Anatidae
Exons: 2
Source: RefSeq, a predicted model, not a curated record